This 200-nucleotide long non-coding RNA is filed under the name Carica papaya (papaya). RNAcentral describes it as "long non-coding RNA (CPAP_LNC007064)". The record is from RNAcentral. Lineage: Eukaryota; Viridiplantae; Streptophyta; Magnoliopsida; Brassicales; Caricaceae.
AUGCUUGGACCACUUGAAUAUUCAACCUGAGUUGAUCCAGAGAAUAAAGGAAGCUCAAUCCACCGAUUCCACCUAGGCAGCCCUAAGGAAAGAUGUAAAACAAGGAGUGAAUUCAGAAUUUCAAGUCUCUGCCAAUGGGCUGCUCACAUUUCAGGACAGGGUGUGUGUUCCACGUGAUAAUGAGCUGAAAAAGGACAUUA